ACGGCAUGCUAGUACGGCGAGUGAGCGGCAACAGCUCAAAUUUGAAAGCUAGCCUUCGGGUUCGCAUUGUAAUUUGUAGAGGAUGAUUUGGGGAAGCCGCCUGUCUAAGUUCCUUGGAACAGGACGUCAUAGAGGGUGAGAAUCCCGUAUGUGACAGGAAAUGGCACCCUAUGUAAAUCUCCUUCGACGAGUCGAGUUGUUUGGGAAUGCAGCUCUAAAUGGGAGGUAAAUUUCUUCUAAAGCUAAAUAUUGGCGAGAGACCGAUAGCGCACAAGUAGAGUGAUCGAAAGAUGAAAAGCACUUUGGAAAGAGAGUUAAAAAGCACGUGAAAUUGUUGAAAGGGAAGCGCUUGCAAUCAGACUUGUUUAAACUGUUCGGCCGGUCUUCUGACCGGUUUACUCAGUUUGGACAGGCCAGCAUCAGUUUCGGCGGCCGGAUAAAGGCUCUGGGAAUGUGGCCUCCACUUCGGUGGAGGUGUUAUAGCCCAGGGUGUAAUACGGCCAGCCGGGACUGAGGUCCGCGCUUCGGCUAGGAUGCUGGCGUAAUGGUUGUAAGCGACCCGUCUUGAACCCCCGGAACCAAAUCU
Molecule: ribosomal RNA, 586 nt
Filed under: Aureobasidium pullulans
Lineage: Eukaryota; Fungi; Ascomycota; Dothideomycetes; Dothideales; Saccotheciaceae
Description: eukaryotic LSU rRNA
Rfam family: Eukaryotic large subunit ribosomal RNA
Source: RNAcentral